AGAGUUUGAUCAUGGCUCAGGAUGAGCGCUGGCGGCGUGCCUAAUACAUGCAAGUCGAACGCUUCACAUAUGUGAAGAGUGGCGAACGGGUGAGUAAUACAUAAGUAACCUGGCCUUUACAGGGGGAUAACUAUUGGAAACGAUAGCUAAGACCGCAUAGGUGUCAUAACCACAUGGAGAUGACAUGAAAUAUGCUACGGCAUAGGUAGAGGAUGGACUUAUGGCGCAUUAGCUAGUUGGAGGGGUAACGGCCCACCAAGGCGACGAUGCGUAGCCGACCUGAGAGGGUGACCGGCCACACUGGGACUGAGACACGGCCCAGACUCCUACGGGGCGCCAGCAG
Molecule: ribosomal RNA, 343 nt
Filed under: uncultured bacterium
Lineage: Bacteria
Description: bacterial SSU rRNA
Rfam family: Bacterial small subunit ribosomal RNA
Source: RNAcentral